Molecule: unclassified non-coding RNA, 255 nt
Filed under: Hevea brasiliensis (rubber tree)
Lineage: Eukaryota; Viridiplantae; Streptophyta; Magnoliopsida; Malpighiales; Euphorbiaceae
Source: RNAcentral
GACUUCUGUGGCUUUGGCAAACCAAUAAUGGAGGCUUUGGAUUUCAAGUUAGAAAAUCUCUGAGAAUUUGACUGGUGGUUAACAUUGGGAUUCAAGUUCGUGGAAUGAGAGUUUACUUUGGUGGAGUCCUUGCGCUCAAUGAAUGCGUUGCGAUCGAACCAGUCGAAUUCGGCGUCCUUGGAAAGCCAAAAAGAUUCAGGCGGGAAAUCCGGCGGGAUUUCUGGUGGAUCAGUCUCAGAUUCUUGAGGCUGGUGG